GACGAACGCUGGCGGCGUGCUUAACACAUGCAAGUCGAACGGAAAGGCCCUGCUUUUGUGGGGUGCUCGAGUGGCGAACGGGUGAGUAACACGUGAGUAACCUGCCCUUGACUUUGGGAUAACUUCUGGAAACUGGGGCUCAUACCGGAUAGGAGAUCCUUCUGCACGGGGUGGGUUGGAAAGUUUCGGCGGUUGGGGAUGGACUCGCGGCUUAUCAGCUUGUUGGUGGGGUAGUGGCUUACCAAGGCUUUGACGGGUAGCCGGCCUGAGAGGGUGACCGGCCACAUUGGGACUGAGGUGCGGGCCAGAGUCCUACGGGAGGCAGCGGUGGGGAAUAUUGCAAAAUGGGCGGAAGCCUGAUGCAGCAACGCCGCGUGCGGGAUGACGGCCUUCGGGGUGUAUACCGCUUUAGCCUGUGACGAAGCGCGAGUGACGGUAAUGGGUAAAGAAGCAACGGCUAACUACGUG
Molecule: ribosomal RNA, 468 nt
Filed under: uncultured bacterium
Lineage: Bacteria
Description: partial 16S ribosomal RNA
Rfam family: Bacterial small subunit ribosomal RNA
Source: RNAcentral